Molecule: ribosomal RNA, 425 nt
Filed under: uncultured archaeon
Lineage: Archaea
Description: partial 16S ribosomal RNA
Rfam family: Archaeal small subunit ribosomal RNA
Source: RNAcentral
CUACGGGUGGCAGCAGUCGGGAAACUUCUGCAAUACGCGCAAGCGUGACAGAGCAAGCCAGAGUGCUUUCCUAUAAUUGGAAGGCUUUUAUGAGAUGUAAAAAGUCUCAUGAAUAAGGACUGGGCAAAACCGGUGCCAGCCGCCGCUGGUAAUACCGGUGGUCCAAGUGGCAGCCGCUUUUAUUGGGUCUAAAACAUCCGUAGCUUGCUUGGUAAGUUUCUUGUGAAAUCUGACAUCUUAAGUGUCGGGCGUGCAAGAGAUACUGCCUCGCUAGAGACCGGGAGACGUAAGGAGUACAUGUAGGGUAGCGGUUAAAUGCACUGAUCCUACGUGGACUAACGACAGCGAAGGCACCUUACGAGAACGGAUCUGACAGUGAGGGAUGAAGGCUAGGGUCGCAAAACGGAUUAGAUACCCUUGUAGUC